GAUGAACGCUGGCGGCGUGCCUAAUACAUGCAAGUCGAGCGAACGGACGAGAAGCUUGCUUCUCUGAUGUUAGCGGCGGACGGGUGAGUAACACGUGGAUAACCUACCUAUAAGACUGGGAUAACUUCGGGAAACCGGAGCUAAUACCGGAUAAUAUUUUGAACCGCAUGGUUCAAAAGUGAAAGACGGUCUUGCUGUCACUUAUAGAUGGAUCCGCGCUGCAUUAGCUAGUUGGUAAGGUGACGGCUUACCAAGGCAACGAUGCAUAGCCGACCUGAGAGGGUGGUCGGCCACACUGGAACUGAGACACGGUCCAGACUCCUACGGGAGGCAGCAGUAGGGAAUCUUCCGCAAGGGGCGAAAGCCUGACGGAGCAACGCCGCGUGAGGGAUGAAGGUCUUCGGAUCGUAAAACUCUGUUAUUAGGGAAGAACAUAUGUGUAAGUAACUGUGCACAUCUUGACGGUACCUAAUCAGAAAGCCACGGCUAACUACGUGC
RNAcentral lists this ribosomal RNA (498 nucleotides) under uncultured bacterium. RNAcentral's name for it is "partial 16S ribosomal RNA". It matches the Rfam family "Bacterial small subunit ribosomal RNA", at positions 28 to 508 of the family's 1533-position model. The record is from RNAcentral.